This 372-nucleotide long non-coding RNA is filed under the name Anser cygnoides (Swan goose). RNAcentral describes it as "lncRNA (ENSACDG00005002704.1)". Lineage: Eukaryota; Metazoa; Chordata; Aves; Anseriformes; Anatidae. The record is from RNAcentral.
AUGUAUACUGCAGUCACACUGAAGGUCCUGAUCUUUGCUUUUGGUACAGACGCAGCAGGCCUAGUGUUCCUCAUAUUCCCCUUCCAGCACCAUCCCCGUGGCCACAGAGAUGAAUGGAAAUGCAGGUUAAAACUCUUGGUUAUGCAACUGUGGGGCCCUGAAUACAAAGGUGGUGUUGCUCAGCUUCUGUGCUGGAAAUACCGUAGAAACCCCACAGGGAGCUCAGGGGUCUUGGUGGAAACAGCACUAAAGACAGAAAGCAGAGAGAGGAUGAAGCAAAUUAAAAGUGGGAACAUUUCUCUCCUGAAUCCAGAUGUACCAAAGAAGGAGGAAAGUCUCACUGCAGAGCUCUACAGAAGGCAGAAAAACUGA